GUGGGGGAAUAUUGCACAAUGGGCGCAAGCCUGAUGCAGCCAUGCCGCGUGUGUGAAGAAGGCCUUCGGGUUGUAAAGCACUUUCAGCGAGGAGGAAGGCGUUAAGGUUAAUAACCUUAGCGAUUGACGUUACUCGCAGAAGAAGCACCGGCUAACUCCGUGCCAGCAGCCGCGGUAAUACGGAGGGUGCAAGCGUUAAUCGGAAUUACUGGGCGUAAAGCGCACGCAGGCGGUUUGUUAAGUCAGAUGUGAAAUCCCCGAGCUUAACUUGGGAACUGCAUUUGAAACUGGCAAGCUAGAGUCUUGUAGAGGGGGGUAGAAUUCCAGGUGUAGCGGUGAAAUGCGUAGAGAUCUGGAGGAAUACCGGUGGCGAAGGCGGCCCCCUGGACAAAGACUGACGCUCAGGUGCGAAAGCGUGGGGCAGCAAAACAGGAUUAGAUACCCUGGUAGUC
RNAcentral lists this ribosomal RNA (452 nucleotides) under uncultured bacterium. RNAcentral describes it as "partial 16S ribosomal RNA". It matches the Rfam family "Bacterial small subunit ribosomal RNA", at positions 353 to 795 of the family's 1533-position model. The record is from RNAcentral.